This 1431-nucleotide long non-coding RNA is filed under the name Gadus morhua (Atlantic cod). RNAcentral's name for it is "lncRNA (ENSGMOG00000009766.2)". The record is from RNAcentral. Lineage: Eukaryota; Metazoa; Chordata; Actinopteri; Gadiformes; Gadidae.
AUGGCCACAAGUUCUAAUGGGAAAACCCAAAGUGAGGAUGAAGGAUCGUGUAGCAAGUAUUAUAUCGGCAGAAGGCCGAUUGUUGUGCUGGCAGACCCAGACAUCAUCAGACAGGUGACUGUGAAGGGGUUCAGCACCUUCCCCAACAGAUUGGUGAGACCCAUGAGCGACUGCCUGCUGAUGCUGAGGGACGAGCAGUGGAAGAGGGUCCGCAGCGUGCUCACGCCCUCCUUCAGCUCGGCCAAGAUGAGAGAGAUGGUUCCUCUGAUUAACACGGCCACUGAUGUCCUGAUGAACAACCUGGACGCCCACGCAGAAUCUGGAGCGGCCUUUGACUUUCACAGGUGUUCCGGCUGCUUCACCAUGGACGUGAUCGCCAGCGUGGCGUUUGGCACUCAGCUGGACUCUCAGAGUAACCCCGACGACCCCUUCGUCCACAACGGACAGAAGUUCUUUGGCUUCACCUUCUUCAAACCCAUCAUACUGGUUUCCAUGAUGUUCCCCUUCCUCCUGACUCUCCUGCGGCGCGUGCUGCCCAAGCGCCGCGACACCGUCAGCGCUUUCUUCACACAGUCCAUCCAGAGGAUCAUCAAGCAGAGAGACGACCUGCCCCCAGAACAGCGGCGCCGGGACUUCCUGCAGCUGAUGCUGGACGCGCGGGGCGGCGGCGGGGAGGAGGUCGUCUCCCUGGAGGACUUUGACGCCGUCUCCCACGCCGCUGGUCCCAGCGACCCGCAACCGGACUCCGCUCCCGCGCCUCCGGCUCCGGGGCUGAAGAAGAAGAGGUGGCUGACGGAGGACGAGGUGGUGGGCCAGGCCUUCAUCUUCCUGCUGGCGGGCUACGAGACCAGCAGCAACACCAUCUCCUUCGCCUGCUACCUGCUGGCCACGCACCCCGAGUGCCAGCGCCGGGCGCAGCAGGAGGUGGACCUCUUCUUCAGCAGACACGAAUCCCUGGAAUAUACCAAUGUCCAGGAGCUGAAGUAUUUAGACAUGGUGUUCUGCGAAGCCCUGCGCCUCUACCCUCCAGGCUUCAGGUAUGGCCGCACUGUGGACGAGGACUGUGAGAUAAGCGGCCAGCCCUUACCUAAAGGAGCCACUGUGGAGUUCUCCAUAGGCUUCCUACAUUAUGACCCAGAGUACUGGCCAGAGCCACACAGGUUCAUCCCAGAGCGGUUCACGGCGGAGGCCCGAGCCAACCGGCACCCCUUCGUGUACCUGCCCUUCGGCGCCGGGCCCCGGAGCUGCGUGGGCGUACGGCUGGCCCAGCUGGAGGUCAAGAUGGCCCUGGUGAACGUGCUGCGCAGGUUCCACCUGGUGGCCUGCGCUGAGACCAAGGUCCCUCUUGAGUUGAAGUCUGAUGUCACUCUCGGACCCAAGAAUGGCAUAUUUCUUAAGAUCACUAAAAGAGAAGCUGAUAACCGAAGCUGA